UACGUAGGGGGCAAGCGUUGUCCGGAUUUAUUGGGCGUAAAGAGCGUGUAGGCGGCCAGGUAGGUCAGCUGUGAAAACUCGAGGCUCAACCUCGAGACGUCGGUUGAAACCACCUGGCUAGAGUCCGGAAGAGGAGAGUGGAAUUCCUGGUGUAGCGGUGAAAUGCGCAGAUAUCAGGAGGAACACCGGUGGCGAAGGCGGGUCUCUGGGCCGAAAUUGACGCUGAGGAGCGAAAGCGUGGGGAGCAAACAGG
Molecule: ribosomal RNA, 253 nt
Filed under: uncultured bacterium
Lineage: Bacteria
Description: partial 16S ribosomal RNA
Rfam family: Bacterial small subunit ribosomal RNA
Source: RNAcentral